CAAUCUGUUAAUUAACGCACGAAAGGCUAUUGACAAGUCUUUUGCUGGUGAAGCCGAGGAUGUACCAGUAUUAUCAACCAGCGUUGCAUAUGGUGUCUACAUGGCUGUUUCGAGCAACCUUAGGUACCAAAUCCUUGCUGGAGUUAUUGAACAACGAAUUUUAGAACCCUUGCUACACAAUAAU
Molecule: long non-coding RNA, 184 nt
Organism: Olea europaea var. sylvestris
Lineage: Eukaryota; Viridiplantae; Streptophyta; Magnoliopsida; Lamiales; Oleaceae
Exons: 2
Source: RefSeq, a predicted model, not a curated record